This is a long non-coding RNA of Podarcis raffonei (Aeolian wall lizard), 3135 nucleotides long. RefSeq lists it as uncharacterized. The record is from RefSeq and is a predicted model, not a curated record. Lineage: Eukaryota; Metazoa; Chordata; Lepidosauria; Squamata; Lacertidae. The transcript is spliced from 2 exons.
AUACACCAAGAGAAGGAUUUGAGUUUUGUUAGUUUGUUGGUGCAAUGAAUAACAUAGUCUUUCAGCAGGGGGUAAUAUCUGUAAAUUGCUAGUUUAGACAUACUGUAUGUUGGCCAAAAAAAAAAAAAAAUGCUAUGUGGUUAUAAUGAGUGGCGGUGUACUGAGAAGGUAUAAUUGAUAACAUUAUUGUAGGGUGGUAUCUGAGUAAGCCGUAUUCAGAGCAGGCCACUGAAAUGAAUGGACUUAAGUUAUGACUAACUUCAAGUCAUUGGGUUUACUCUGCAUAUGACAUGGUCUCCCAUUAUUUCUUCAAGCGUUUUAUGAUAUCACUGAGAAUAGGAUCAGACCUUUGAUAGGCUCAUCCAGUUAUUUCAUAGCUGCGUUUUUUAAAAUAACAGUAAUUGUGGAAGAGAAAUGAAUUUGUGUAUUAGCCUUAUUAUGGUGUUUACUAUGAAGACUUGGUAGAUGGUACAAAAGAAGAGUUUCAUCUAACCAUGUUGUAGUUAGUACAGAGUCAAUGGACCUCACACUUUUUUAGCAUCGAAAUAUGGAAGCAAAUUAAACUUGUACCAUGAUCCAGGCUAUCUAUAAGGUUUUUCUUCAAACCUAUCUCUAUGGAUACAGUACCUUUAAUGAAUGACACAUUGAAAACAAAUGCCUUCAUAAUCCUCUGCCAGCAUAAAGAGCAGUUGGCAGGUGAUGAUUAAGGUGGUUUUUCAUUAAAGCCAGACAAACUUAUAGAUUUAUUUGAGGGGAAUGCCUCUCUUGACUGAAACCUGGACCAUUUUUUAAAAGUUCAAAUGCAGAAAUGUGGUAUUUCACUUCAGGAUUAUUAGGAGAUCUAAGGGGAUAAAUAGAAUUGCAAAUCAUUUUGGCAGGUUUUGGCUUUGGGUGUAGUGGGCUACAAUUCAUGGAGCUCCCUGAAGUCUGAAAUAAAAUGAAAGAACACAUCAUGCUAGAAGCAUCAUGUCUUCAUAUAUCAAAAUUUUCUCCCUUAUUUUACAAGUUUGUAACUUGGUAUUUUUUUUUAAAAGAAAUCUUGUUCUGAGAGAUCACCAAAACCUGAGAGAAGCAUUUACAUAAUUUAUUUUUAAAGAACUUUAACAUUAAAGCUUACCUUUGAAAGGUAAAGAUUGAAUACACUGUUUAAAAAUGCCAAUAAAAACCUCAUUUAUUUCAUAUAUGCAAGUUGAUUUGCACAUCUAUAAAUAUGCUUUUCAGUACAUUUCACCUAGUUCUGAUCAUUUGUCUCUCUUGUGGUUCAUAGAAGCAGUUGUGGUUGGGGGGGGGUUUGGUUUCUGCAUGGCAGUGUUGAAGCACAUUCUGCUAAUAUGUGUGCCUUUUAUUUUAUUUUUUAUUUUAAAUUAAUUGUGUGUUUGGGAUGUGAACAUUGCCUGAGCAAUUAUAAUGGAACACUAAUUUGAGGAUUUAUAUACUUUCUGUAAAUAUUGGUAUGAUUUAUAAAGAGUAUUUUUUAAUAUUGGUGAAAAGACAAAGCAAAAGUACGUACUACAAGCUGCAACAACUCAAAGAGAAUGCUACCUAUUGAUAUUUGUACUUGAAUGUUUGUGUCUAAACACAAUGCGCUUAUAUAUGAUGCAUUAUCCAUGCUAAAUCUUAGUAAAGGAGGGAGGAGAGAAUAUAGUUAGCUAAUGCCCAUCUGCCUGGUCUUAAAUGGUUUGGUAGUGUACUUUUCAUGUUCCAAGUGACAGGAAAUUGCUGACGUCCAAUAUCAAAGAACUAGAAAUGUAAAUUGGUAUGUACAUGCUUUUUCUCUCUCUCAAAAGAAUGCAGUUCAGUAUGUUCUUCUAUAAAUUACUAGUACUUCACUGGCAUGAUCUUUUGAAGAAAUAGGUUAUUUUCUUGACGUUCUUAGCACAAACUUUCGCAGGUAUGAAGGCGCUCCAAUUAAGUUAUUCACAUUUAGUAGUAUGUAAGGUUGACCACAUGAGCACUCAAGAAGUUGUUUAGAGAGGAAAGUCCCCUCUUUUUCUUCAAAGGAGGUGUAAUUGCUCAUUCCUGUAGCAUCAGAGGGUGCAUGGCCCCUAGCUCAAGUUCACACAGCUACCAUGGCAUGCUAUGUGCUUCUAACGUUCGCACCACUCUUGUAGAAUAAGGAUUAUCAGAAGCCUAACACCAAGUCACAAGGAGCAGCCUAACCUCCUCAAGCAAGCAAGCAAGUGCACAAAGACUGGUGUUGUAUGGGUCUACCUAUGCACUUCCUUAAAAAUAGUCAGAUAUACUACAGGAUAAAUUUAAAAGUCGUGACACUUGUAAUCUGAGUAGCACUGGGCUUCCUUCUUUUUACAAAUUGUCACAGAGAAGAACCUUGCCUACCAACAUGACUGAACACUCACAUGUUAUUUUGUCAGUGUGGCUCUGGUUAUAUAGCUGUCCAAUAUGGAGAAUUUUUAGAGUGUGUAAGUAGGCCCUAAGUCAAUUUCUCUGAAAAGUCUAUGGAAACUUCCAUUUGUAACUGGGGAUAAAAAUGUAUUUAGCAUUGUAAUUAAUCAUUCAGCAUUUUAUACCUUGAUGGUACGAUGCCCACGGCUUGUCUGACAGGCUGCUUAGUUUUAAAAAAAGUACUUGGGAGCAAUUCAGGGACAGUUCACUACGUUUCCCCCCCAAUAACUUUUGUUGCAAAAGUUCUGAGGCACACAAUUGAAUUAACUACAUAACGCAGUGCCCCCCCCCCCCCGUAAUUAGUGCCUUUGUUUUUGUAUUUUUGACAGUGAGCUUUCUAAAGAAAGAAUAGCCUUCAUACAGGUUCUGAAUUGAAAAGGGUGUCAUGACUGCUACAAAAUCACUGUGCAUUCACAAUGGAUGUUAGUAGUAGUAAUUGUGAUGGGUUAUGCCUGAAGAUUAUAAUUCUCAAUAGGUUUCAUACAAUACUAGAUGAUUGCUUUCAGCCUUUUGGGCAAAGUAGAGGCCAUUCAUAUUCUAGGUAACUCCUGUUUAUUUAGUGCAACAAGUGAAGAGAGUUAUUGUUGAGAAGGCAUUUAUAGCUGGUCCCUUGCACCCUUUGAUAAAAAUCUUAUAUUUUAUCCACAAUAAGAACCUUUAAAAAAAAAAGUCUUAUUCAAGGGAGGCAUCUUCCAACAAUCCAUCUUAAUCUAUCAAAUGGCUUUUCCUUUU